UACGUAGGGUGCGAGCGUUGUCCGGAAUUACUGGGCGUAAAGAGCUCGUAGGUGGUUUGUCGCGUUGUUCGUGAAAACUCACAGCUUAACUGUGGGCGUGCGGGCGAUACGGGCAGACUGGAGUACUGCAGGGGAGACUGGAAUUCCUGGUGUAGCGGUGGAAUGCGCAGAUAUCGGGAAGAACACCCGUGGCGAAGGCGGCUCUCUGGGACGGUACUGACGCUGAGACGCGAAAGCGUGGGGAGCGAACAGG
RNAcentral lists this ribosomal RNA (253 nucleotides) under uncultured bacterium. RNAcentral's name for it is "partial 16S ribosomal RNA". It matches the Rfam family "Bacterial small subunit ribosomal RNA", at positions 524 to 776 of the family's 1533-position model. The record is from RNAcentral.